CCUACGGGAGGCAGCAGUGGGGAAUAUUGGACAAUGGGCGAAAGCCUGAUCCAGCAAUGCCGCGUGAGUGAUGAAGGCCUUAGGGUUGUAAAGCUCUUUUACCAGGGAUGAUAAUGACAGUACCUGGAGAAUAAGCUCCGGCUAACUCCGUGCCAGCAGCCGCGGUAAUACGGAGGGAGCUAGCGUUGUUCGGAAUUACUGGGCGUAAAGAGUACGUAGGCGGUUAUUCAAGUCAGAGGUGAAAGCCCGGGGCUCAACCCCGGAACUGCCUUUGAAACUAGAUAGCUAGAAUCUUGGAGAGGUCAGUGGAAUUCCGAGUGUAGAGGUGAAAUUCGUAGAUAUUCGGAAGAACACCAGUGGCGAAGGCGACUGACUGGACAAGUAUUGACGCUGAGGUACGAAAGCGUGGGGAGCAAACAGGAUUAGAUACCCUGGUAGUCCACGCCGUAAACGAUGAUAACUAGUUGUUCGGGCACUUGGUGCCUGAGUGACGCAGCUAACGCAUUAAGUUAUCCGCCUGGGGAGUACGGUCGCAAGAUUAAAACUUAAAUGAAUUGAACGG
Molecule: ribosomal RNA, 562 nt
Filed under: uncultured bacterium
Lineage: Bacteria
Description: bacterial SSU rRNA
Rfam family: Bacterial small subunit ribosomal RNA
Source: RNAcentral